AAAAGGGGCCUUCUGUUGUGAGUAGCACAUGUAGUGCAACUCAACUGUUCUUCAUGUGGAAUCGGCAUCAAGAGAUUUCAGAAGCAUAAUUUUUUUGGUAUCUGGGCCGUUGGUGAUCAUUGGUCCUGGUGCCUGU
Molecule: small nuclear RNA, 136 nt
Organism: Otolemur garnettii (small-eared galago)
Lineage: Eukaryota; Metazoa; Chordata; Mammalia; Primates; Galagidae
Source: Ensembl